GUCCGGGCUCCACGGAACGACGGUGCCGGGUAACGCCCGGCGGGCCCCCCCGCACGCGGGGGUUCAGGGGAAGUGCCACACAAAGCAUAACGCCCGCUCGCGGGGCGGUAAGGGCGAAAGGGUGCGGCAAGAGCGCACCGCGCGGCUGGCAACAGGCGCGGCACGGCAAACCCCACCGGGUGCAAGACCGAAUAGGGGUGGCAUUGGGUUUCGGCCCUGGGGCCUGUUCCGGCUCGCCACCCGGGUUGGUUGCUUGAGCGGCACGGCAACGUGUCGCCUAGAGGAAUGGUCGCCCAGGUGCUUAGGCACUGGACAGAACCCGGCUUACAGGUCCCCUGACAUU
This 343-nucleotide RNase P RNA is filed under the name Sphingomonas bacterium. RNAcentral describes it as "partial RNase P RNA component class A". It matches the Rfam family "Bacterial RNase P class A", at positions 50 to 367 of the family's 367-position model. Rfam says of the family: Ribonuclease P (RNase P) is a ubiquitous endoribonuclease, found in archaea, bacteria and eukarya as well as chloroplasts and mitochondria. Its best characterised activity is the generation of mature 5'-ends of tRNAs by cleaving the 5'-leader elements of precursor-tRNAs. The record is from RNAcentral. Lineage: Bacteria; Pseudomonadati; Pseudomonadota; Alphaproteobacteria; Sphingomonadales; Sphingomonadaceae.